UAUGGCUCAGGACGAACGCUAGCGGCGUGCCUAAGAAAUGCAAGUUGAGCGAGGGGAUGGACUUCGGUCUGUCUUCCUAGCGGCGAACGGUCGCGUAACACGUAAGCAACCUGCCUCGAAGUUUGGGAUAGCCCUCCGAAAGGGGGAGUAAUACCGGAUGUGGAUACGAUGAGACAUCUUAUUGUAUCUAAAGCAGUAAUGCGCUUCGAGAUGGGCUUGCGGCCUAUCAGCUAGUUGGUGAGGUAACGGCCCACCAAGGCGACGACGGGUAGCUGGUCUGAGAGGAUGAUCAGCCGGAUUGGGACUGAGAUACGGCCCAGACUCCUACGGGGGGCAGCAAUUAGGAAUCUUGCGCAAUGGGCGAAAGCCUGACGCAGCGACGCCGCGUGACUGAUGAAGUCUUUCGGGAUGUAAAGGUCUUUUCUGAAGGAAGAACACAAUGACGGUACUUCAGGAAUAAGCCCCGGCUAACUACGUGCCAGCAGCCGCGGUAAUACGUAGGGGGCGAGCGUUGUCCGAAUUCACUGGGCGUAAAGCGCGCGUAGGCGGGCUAUUAAGUUGAUGGUGAAAUCCCGAGGCUCAACCUCGGAACUGCCUUCAAAACUGAUAGUCUUGAGGUUUGGAGAGGGAACUGGAAUUCCAGGUGUAGCGGUGAAAUGCGUAGAUAUCUGGAGGAACACCCAUGGCGAAGGCAGGUUCCUGGCCAUAUCCUGACGCUGAGGUGCGAAAGCUAGGGUAGCGAACGGGAUUAGAUACCCCGGUAGUCCUAGCCGUAAACGAUGGAUACUAGGUGUUAGAGGUAUCGACCCCUCUAGUGCCGGAGCUAACGCAUUAAGUAUCCCGCCUGGGGAGUACGACCGCAAGGUUGAA
RNAcentral lists this ribosomal RNA (870 nucleotides) under uncultured bacterium. RNAcentral's name for it is "bacterial SSU rRNA". It matches the Rfam family "Bacterial small subunit ribosomal RNA", at positions 18 to 898 of the family's 1533-position model. The record is from RNAcentral.